This 429-nucleotide ribosomal RNA is filed under the name Fusobacteriota bacterium. RNAcentral describes it as "Fusobacteria bacterium partial 16S ribosomal RNA". It matches the Rfam family "Bacterial small subunit ribosomal RNA", at positions 355 to 776 of the family's 1533-position model. Lineage: Bacteria; Fusobacteriati; Fusobacteriota. The record is from RNAcentral.
UGGGGAAUAUUGCGCAAUGGGCGAAAGCCUGACGCAGCGACGCCGCGUGAGGGAUGAAGGUUUUCGGAUCGUAAACCUCUGUCAGAAGGGAAGAAACCGCACUGUGCUAAUCAGCAGUGCCUUGACGGUACCUUCAAAGGAAGCACCGGCUAACUCCGUGCCAGCAGCCGCGGUAAUACGGAGGGUGCAAGCGUUAAUCGGAAUUACUGGGCGUAAAGCGCACGUAGGCUGCUUUGUAAGUCAGGGGUGAAAUCCCACGGCUCAACCGUGGAACUGCCUUGGAUACUGCUUAGCUUGAAUCCGGGAGAGGGUGGCGGAAUUCCAGGUGUAGAAGUGAAAUCCGUAGAUAUCUGGAGGAACAUCAGUGGCGAAGGCGGCCACCUGGACCGGUAUUGACGCUGAGGUGCGAAAGCGUGGGGAGCAAACAGG